RNAcentral lists this ribosomal RNA (253 nucleotides) under uncultured bacterium. Its description in RNAcentral is "partial 16S ribosomal RNA". It matches the Rfam family "Bacterial small subunit ribosomal RNA", at positions 524 to 776 of the family's 1533-position model. The record is from RNAcentral.
UACGGGGGGGGCAAGCGUUGUUCGGAAUUACUGGGCGUAAAGGGCUCGUAGGCGGCCAACUAAGUCGGACGUGAAAUCCCCAGGCUCAACCUGGGAACUGCGUCCGAUACUGGAUGGCUUGAAUCCGGGAGAGGGAUGCAGAAUUCCAGGUGUAGCGGUGAAAUGCGUAGAUAUCUGGAGGAACACCGGUGGCGAAGGCGGCAUCCUGGACCGACACUGACGCUGAGGCGCGAAAGCCAGGGGAGCAAACGGG